CAAGGAAGUUUUUACAAAUACAAAAAAAAAUUUAAAACCUGUAUCACAGUAGCCAAUUAGAGAUAAUUUGGCAUUUUGUCCCCUAACACAUCCAAAGACUUUCAGUCAUUCUUGUCCAUCUCUUCUGGGGCUCUGAAUUAUCCAAGCUUAGUAAAUAGGUUAGGAAAUGAACUAAUCAUUUCCAUAACCAAUUAAAAUGCCUGCAUAGAACUGACAGUGUAAAACCUUCUGGUCUUUUUUGUGUUUGUUUCUGGUUUUUAAUAUACUGAUAACAAAGAGGUU
Long non-coding RNA from Pezoporus flaviventris, 282 nucleotides. RefSeq lists it as uncharacterized. The transcript has 2 exons. The record is from RefSeq and is a predicted model, not a curated record. NCBI's taxonomy places the organism in Eukaryota, Metazoa, Chordata, Aves, Psittaciformes, Psittacidae.